CCUACGGGAGGCAGCAGUGGGGAAUCUUGCGCAAUGGGCGAAAGCCUGACGCAGCCAUGCCGCGUGAAUGAUGAAGGUCUUAGGAUUGUAAAAUUCUUUCACCGAGGACGAUAAUGACGGUACUCGGAGAAGAAGCCCCGGCUAACUUCGUGCCAGCAGCCGCGGUAAUACGAAGGGGGCUAGCGUUGCUCGGAAUUACUGGGCGUAAAGGGAGCGUAGGCGGAUAGUUUAGUCAGAGGUGAAAGCCCAGGGCUCAACCUUGGAAUUGCCUUUGAUACUGGCUAUCUUGAGUACGGAAGAGGUAUGUGGAACUCCGAGUGUAGAGGUGAAAUUCGUAGAUAUUCGGAAGAACACCAGUGGCGAAGGCGACAUACUGGUCCGUUACUGACGCUGAGGCUCGAAAGCGUGGGGAGCAAACAGGAUUAGAUACCCUGGUAGUCCACGCUGUAAACGAUGAGUGCUAGUUGUCGGCAUGCAUNNAUGUGUGACGCAGCUACGCAUAGACACNCCGCCGUCGGGAGGUACGGUCGCGAAGAAGUUAAACUAACAAUAGUAAGUAGUACGGACGUGAGACGUGACCGACGACGACGACGAGGGAGGAGG
Molecule: ribosomal RNA, 603 nt
Filed under: uncultured bacterium
Lineage: Bacteria
Description: bacterial SSU rRNA
Rfam family: Bacterial small subunit ribosomal RNA (bases 1-513)
Source: RNAcentral